AGUGAACGCUGGCGGUAGGCCUAACACAUGCAAGUCGAACGGCAGCACAGAGGAACUUGCUCCUUGGGUGGCGAGUGGCGGACGGGUGAGGAAUACAUCGGAAUCUACUCUGUCGUGGGGGAUAACGUAGGGAAACUUACGCUAAUACCGCAUACGACCUACGGGUGAAAGCAGGGGAUCUUCGGACCUUGCGCGAUUGAAUGAGCCGAUGUCGGAUUAGCUAGUUGGCGGGGUAAAGGCCCACCAAGGCGACGAUCCGUAGCUGGUCUGAGAGGGUGAUCAGCCACACUGGAACUGAGACACGGUCCAGACUCCUACGGGAGGCAGCAGUGGGGAAUAUUGGACAAUGGGCGCAAGCCUGAUCCAGCCAUACCGCGUGGGUGAAGAAGGCCUUCGGGUUGUAAAGCCCUUUUGUUGGGAAAGAAAUCCAUCUGGUUAAUACCCGGGUGGGAUGAGGGUACCCAAAGAAUAAGCACCGGCUAACUUCGUGCCAGCCGCCGCCGUAA
RNAcentral lists this ribosomal RNA (506 nucleotides) under uncultured bacterium. Its description in RNAcentral is "partial 16S ribosomal RNA". It matches the Rfam family "Bacterial small subunit ribosomal RNA", at positions 29 to 523 of the family's 1533-position model. The record is from RNAcentral.